Meleagris gallopavo (turkey) is the source of this 201-nucleotide non-coding RNA. The record is from RefSeq and is a predicted model, not a curated record. Lineage: Eukaryota; Metazoa; Chordata; Aves; Galliformes; Phasianidae.
CCGAUCUCCUUCCCCCCCGCCAGAGCCUCUUAAAGGACCCCUUUUAUAUGGGAUUGUACCAAAAACGUGACCGCUCUCCGGCCUACGACGAGCUGAUCGACGAAUUCAUGGAGGCCAUCACAGACAGAUACGGGCAGAACACCUUGAUUCAGUUUGAGGAUUUUGGGAACCACAACGCCUUCCGUUUCCUCCGGAAGUACA